UUUUAAAUAUGUAUGGGAUAACUAGCAUAAAGCAUUUGGUUUAUGUCAUAGUUUUGCUACUUUUUUCACAAUUUUAUUUGUCUUUUGUCUUUUACUUUGAGUUAUUUAUGACAUAUAGAAGUUCUCUAUUGACACCCUUUCCCAUUACUGAUUUCACCAACCAUAUUUAUUGUUAAAAAUAAAUCCUUUUCAUGGACUUCAUAUUAUUGAU
This 211-nucleotide long non-coding RNA is filed under the name Bos taurus (domestic cattle). Its description in RNAcentral is "long non-coding RNA NONBTAT000441". Lineage: Eukaryota; Metazoa; Chordata; Mammalia; Artiodactyla; Bovidae. The record is from RNAcentral.